RNAcentral lists this ribosomal RNA (546 nucleotides) under Quasimitra sanguinolenta. RNAcentral's name for it is "partial 12S ribosomal RNA". The record is from RNAcentral. Lineage: Eukaryota; Metazoa; Mollusca; Gastropoda; Neogastropoda; Mitridae.
AACCAGGGGGUUAAGUUGUAUUGUUGCGGUAAAAAGACAGUUAAAUAUUUUCAAAGGGUUUAGUUCAUUGUCCUAUCGGGAGGUAGAAUUCGAAGAUAGACAAAUAUACUUAAUAAAACUUACGUAUUGAAGCUGUGACAGCUUUGAGGGAAACUAGGAUUAGAUACCCUAUUAUUCAUAGAAGUAAAUAAGAAAAAUUUUUACCAGAGCACUAAGAAUAAAAAAUUUAAAACUCAAAGGGCUUGGCGGUGUUUUAGACUACUUAGGGGAACCUGUCUCAUAAUCGACAAUCCACGUUAGACCUGACCUUUUUUUGCAUUCAGUUUGUAUACCGUCGUCGCCAGGUAACUUUUAAGAUAUAAACAGUUAGCUAACUAAAUACUUAAAUUAAGACGUCAGAUCAAGGUGCAGCCAACAAAAAGGUGUAGAUGGGUUACAAUUAUGGUUAUUUGUAACAACGGACAACAACCUUAAAGGUAGUUGAGAAGGAGGACUUAAAAGUAAAAUGAUUUAUAUAAAUAUUUUGAAUAAAGCUCUGAAACGUGC